RNAcentral lists this ribosomal RNA (274 nucleotides) under uncultured bacterium. RNAcentral's name for it is "partial 16S ribosomal RNA". It matches the Rfam family "Bacterial small subunit ribosomal RNA", at positions 523 to 796 of the family's 1533-position model. The record is from RNAcentral.
AUACGGAGGGUCCAAGCGUUAUCCGGAAUCAUUGGGUUUAAAGGGUCCGCAGGCGGUCAAUUAAGUCAGAGGUGAAAGCCCAUCGCUCAACGAUGAAACUGCCUUUGAUACUGGUUGACUUGAGUUAUACGGAAGUAGAUAGAAUAAGUAGUGUAGCGGUGAAAUGCAUAGAUAUUACUUAGAAUACCGAUUGCGAAGGCAGUCUACUACGUAUAUACUGACGCUGAGGGACGAAAGCGUGGGGAGCGAACAGGAUUAGAAACCCUAGUAGUCC